This 356-nucleotide unclassified non-coding RNA is filed under the name uncultured Actinomycetes bacterium. RNAcentral describes it as "uncultured actinobacterium partial contains 16S ribosomal RNA, 16S-23S ribosomal RNA intergenic spacer, and 23S ribosomal RNA". The stretch from base 243 to 356 matches the Rfam family "Bacterial large subunit ribosomal RNA", at positions 1 to 113 of the family's 2925-position model. Lineage: Bacteria; Bacillati; Actinomycetota; Actinomycetes. The record is from RNAcentral.
UCUAGGGAGAUUUCUCUAGAACGUCGACCGGGCUGUUGGUUCACUUCGGUGAGCCAUGCGGAUCUACUUCGGUAGUCCGAUUUACGCUGCUCAGUUUUGAGAGACCACCUCCGGAGAACCCGGAGGUGCGCCUCGGUGGACCUUGAAAACUGCACAGUGCCAAUAUUUCGGGACUCACUUCGGUGGGUUCCGAGGGUAAUUGAUUUAACGAUUCACACCUCUUGUAGGAGUGAGUCGCUCACCGUCAAGAUAUUAAGAGUUUACGGUGGAUGCCUUGGCACCAGGAGUCGAAGAAGGACGUGGACGGCUGCGAUAAGCCGCGGUGAGGCGCUGAACAGCCUUUGACCCGCGGAUUU